RNAcentral lists this ribosomal RNA (253 nucleotides) under uncultured bacterium. Its description in RNAcentral is "partial 16S ribosomal RNA". It matches the Rfam family "Bacterial small subunit ribosomal RNA", at positions 524 to 776 of the family's 1533-position model. The record is from RNAcentral.
UACGUAGGGUGCAAGCGUUGUCCGGAAUUAUUGGGCGUAAAGAGCUCGUAGGCGGUUUGUCGCGUCUGCUGUGAAAACUCGGGGCUUAACCCCGGGCCUGCAGUGGGUACGGGCAGACUAGAGUGCGGUAGGGGAGACUGGAAUUCCUGGUGUAGCGGUGAAAUGCGCAGAUAUCAGGAGGAACACCCGUAGCGAAGGCGGCACUCUGGGCCGAUUCUGACACUGAGGAGCGAAAGCGUGGGGAGCGAACAGG